RNAcentral lists this long non-coding RNA (27929 nucleotides) under Xyrichtys novacula (pearly razorfish). Lineage: Eukaryota; Metazoa; Chordata; Actinopteri; Labriformes; Labridae. The record is from RNAcentral.
UUUGAGUUGUUUUUGGGGAAGAGAAACAUCAAAUAACCCUUUAAUAAAAUAUUGUUUGAUAUUCAUUUUGUCACAGAUUUAAUAACUGUGGACUCUCAGAGACUCACUGUGAAGUUGUGGCCUCAGCUCUGAAGUCCAACCCCUCCCAUCUGAGACAUCUGAACCUGAGAAACAACAGACUGCAGGAUUCAGGAGUGAAGCUUCUCUCUGCAGGACUGGAGAGUCCAAACUGCAGACUGGAGACUCUGAGGUGAGACACCAUUUCCUUCCGAUCUAACAAUAAGAUGUGACAGCUGCUGCCUUAGAUUUUUCUCUGUGGUUUUUCCAUCAACUUUGGUCGAGCAGUUUGAAUUUGUCGUUGUAAAACUUCAACACAGGAAGAAAAAUCCGACAUUUCAGAGUCGACUUUGAGUAGAACGAUGGAUGUAGAAAGGAAGCAGGAGAAAAUCAGUCCCACAAAUAUUAUACAUGCUUGUAGAGGGCAGGAGCAGCACAGACUAAAGGCUGAUAUUGAACUGAUCCACAGUUAAUGUGAUCACUAAUGAAUGAAUGAAGUGUCAGAGAAAUGAUGAGCUGCAGAUUGAAACCUGAAGAACAAAGUUAAUCCAACUCUGGAUAUUUCAUUUGGAAACUCUUGAAAACUUGAAUUUCUUCUUUGCUCAGUCGUGUUCAAAUGUAAAAACCAGAUCCAGAUUUUUCUGCAGUUUUCACUUCAGUUUGUUGAACAUGAACAUCAUCUUGUCCAGCUGGUCCAUAAAAACCUCUCUGAUCAAUGAUCUGUUGGUUUAUUUAAGAGUAGUUUGUCAGUUGUUGACAGCAGACGGACAGACCCCUGAAUAAACUCCUGACUGUUUUCAUCUUCAUGAAGAAUUCAGGACUACAAAAGAACCUUUGAGAUUUCUCACAGGAGUUUCUCAGGAUCUCACUAAAGUUUUCUGUUUCUGUAAAAUUUUCUCGACUGAUAAAUUCCUCUGGAUCUUCAAAAAGUUUAGAGAGGAUUUUACAAAGUUCCUGAAGAUCAACUCUGAAAAAGUUCUUCUUCCGUGUCCUUCAGGGUUCAAGAACAUUGAAUCAUUAAAAACAGGAACAGUUUCUUCAGAGGUUACAUGAUUUUUUUCUUUUUUCAGACUGUGACAGGUGUUUAUUAGUCUUUUUGACUCAUUACAAUAAUGAGGAUAAAGUCAUGGACUAAACUUGGGCUCCCAGUUUCCUUGUUGUUGUUUCUUCAGCUAGCAUCAUUGUUUUCAUCUCAGUUAUUAAAGUAAUAAUGAUGCUUCAUAAAUUCAGAGUCACAAAAAAACACCAAACAAACCAAAUCUGAAAAAAAUUCACUUUUUCAUCAAAUGAGUUUAAUCGGUCAGAACAUGAGGUUUGAGUUUUCAUGAGGAGGAAACGAGAAAGAUCUGCUCUGACAGUUAGAAACACAGACACCUGAAUUUACACUGACAGACAGAGAGACACAGACAGAGACACAGACAGACACAGACAGAGACACACAAACACAGACUAACAGAGAUGUUCCUCUUCGUCUCUUUGCUGUGAUGACUGAAGUCACAAAAACAAAGUUUUCUUCGUCACUUUUAUGAUUGAACCAAAGAAGUUAAAGAACCAAACUCUCAGAUUUUGUUCUUCUCAAUUUUAUUUGAACCAUUUAGAUUUUUCUCCUGAUCAAUAUUCAAUGAUCAGAUUGAUCAGGUUCCUGUUUUGGCUCCACUGCCUCUUUUCUGCAGCUCAAUAACUGCUCAUAUGGUUUGAAAGGUUCCUGCAGUAAAACCCGAUUAGAGAGUGGACUAAAUGAAAUGUGAGUGAACUCAGCCAUCAGUGAAUCAAUGACAAAGUGAGAGGAAGAGUGGAUCUGUCUGCUGUCUGACCUUGUUGAUCCUGAUGAAGGUGAGGGAGAAGAGUAAAGCAGUAAAGGUGAUGUUGUUGCAGACAGAGUCAGCUGACCUGUCUCAUCAGAGUCUCAUCCAUUCUCUGUUUGGCAGAGCACUGAUGUUAGAGUCUGAGAGCACAUUCAGGUUCAGCUUCACAUGGGCUGGAUCUGCUCAAUACAAACUCUUGAGACCAGCCUGGUUGAGGGAGGUGGGCUCAGUGUCCUGGGUGACUCUCUCUGAGCUCUUCUUGGUUGAGAGUAUUUCUGGUUUGUCUCUGACUUCCAUGAACUCAGAUCUGGAGGAUUGCUGGCUGGUCCGGUCCAGUUCUGACAGUAGAGACAACACAGUCUGUUAUUCUGGGUUGAGUGUUCUUGUUGAAGAUCAGUGUACAGUGAGGGAUGAAGGCAGACAAAGAUCCUCCUGUUUCCUCCAUGUCACAGUUCAAGUUCAUUUUGAAGACUUUGAUUGAUCCGAGCGCUGAAGAGGAACAGGAAACGAGGAGUAGAGAGUGAGGGAGGACUUACAGCAAAGGAUCAUGGGAGUCCAACCAGCAACUGCUGCAACAAGGACUCCACCUUCUGAUCACAUGAACCUCUAAUCCAAACCAGUGCUCCAUCACAUUUGAUGUCUUGUCUGUUAUUUUACAUGGAGGGUCAGAGCAGACCAGAUCAUGAGCUCUGACAGACUGGAUCUGGUCCAAAGGUCUCCUGUUGGAGUUCUCUAAGCUCCAUAUUUUAAACCUGAACACCUGAAGUUUGAUUAUUAAUUAUUUUUAUCUUCAUUCUCUUUCCUUUUUUCAGAUUGUAUAAAUGCAGUUUGUCAGAGAUCAGCUGUUCUUCUCUGGCCUCAGCUCUGAAGUCCAACCCCUCCCAUCUGAGAUAUCUGGACCUGAGUCACAACAAGCUGCAGGAUUCAGGAGUGAAGCUUCUCUCUGCAGGACUGGAGAGUCCAAACUGUAAACUGGAGACUCUGAGGUGAGACACCAUUUCCUUCUGAUCUAACAAUAAGAUGUGACAGCUGCUGCCUUAGAUUUUUCUCUGUGGUUUUUCCAUCAACUUUGGUCGAGCAGUUUGAAUUUGUCGUUGUAAAACUUCAACACAGGAAGAAAAAUCCGACAUUUCAGAGUCGACUUUGAGUAGAACGAUGGAUGUAGAAAGGAAGCAGGAGAAAAUCAGUCCCACAAAUAUUACACAUGCUUGUAGAGGGCAGGAGCAGCACAGACUAAAGGCUGAUACUGAACUGAUCCACAGUUAAUGUGAUCACUAAUGAAUGAAGUGUCAGAGAAAUGAUGAGCUGCAGAUUGAAACCUGAAGAACAAAGUUAAUCCAACUCUGGAUAUUUCAUUUGGAAACUCUUGAAAACUUGAAUUUCUUCUUUGCUCAGUCGUGUUCAAAUGUAAAAACCAGAUCCAGAUUUGUCUGCAGUUUUCACUUCAGUUUGUUGAACAUGAACAUCAUCUUGUCCAGCUGGUCCAUAAAAACCUCUCUGAUCAAUGAUCUGUUGGUUUAUUUAAGAGUAGUUUGGCAGUUGUUGACAGCAGACGGACAGACCCCUGAAUAAACUCCUGACUAUUUUCAUCUUCAUGAAGAAUUCAGGACUACAAAAGAACCUUUGAGAUUUCUCACAGGAGUUUCUCAGGAUCUCACUAAAGUUUUCUGUUUCUGUAAAAUUUUCUCGACUGAUAAAUUCCUCUGGAUCUUCAAAAAGUUUAGAGAGGAUUUUACAAAGUUCCUGAAGAUCAACUCUGAAAAAGUUCUUCUUCCGUGUCCUUCAGGGUUCAAGAACAUUGAAUCAUUAAAAACAGGAACAGUUUCUUCAGAGGUUACAUGAUUUUUUUCUUUUUUCAGACUGUGACAGGUGUUUAUUAGUCUUUUUGACUCAUUACAAUAAUGAGGAUAAAGUCAUGGACUAAACUUGGGCUCCCAGUUUCCUUGUUGUUGUUUCUUCAGCUAGCAUCAUUGUUUUCAUCUCAGUUAUUAAAGUAAUAAUGAUGCUUCAUAAAUUCAGAGUCACAAAAAAACACCAAACAAACCAAAUCUGAAAAAAAUUCACUUCUUCAUCAAAUGAGUUUAAUCGGUCAGAACAUGAGGUUUGAGUUUUCAUGAGGAGGAAACGAGAAAGAUCUGCUCUGACAGUGAGAAACACAGACGCCUGAAUCUACACUGACAGACAGACAAACACAGACAGAGAGACAGACACACAAACACAGACACACAGAGAUUUUCCUCUUUGUCUCUUUGCUGUGAUGACUGAAGUCACAAAAACAAAGUUUUCUUCGUCACUUUUAUGAUUGAACCAAAGAAGUUAAAGAACCAAACUCUCAGAUUUUGUUCUUCUCAAUUUUAUUUGAACCAUUUAGAUUUUUCUCCUGAUCAAUAUUCAAUGAUCAGAUUGAUCAGGUUCCUGUUUUGGCUCCACUGCCUCUUUUCUGCAGCUCAAUAACUGCUCAUAUGGUUUGAAAGGUUCCUGCAGUAAAACCCGAUUAGAGAGUGGACUAAAUGAAAUGUGAGUGAACUCAGCCAUCAGUGAAUCAAUGACAAAGUGAGAGGAAGAGUGGAUCUGUCUGCUGUCUGACCUUGUUGAUCCUGAUGAAGGUGAGGGAGAAGAGUAAAGCAGUAAAGGUGAUGUUGUUGCAGACAGAGUCAGCUGACCUGUCUCAUCAGAGUCUCAUCCAUUCUCUGUUUAGCAGAGCGCUGAUGUUACAGUCUGAGAGCACAUUCAGGUUCAGCUUCACAUGGGCUGGAUCUGCUCAAUACAAACUCUUGAGACCAGCCUGGUUGAGGGAGGUGGGCUCAGUGUCCUGGGUGACUCUCUCUGAGCUCUUCUUGGUUGAGAGUCUUUCUGGUUUGUCUCUGACUUCCAUGAACUCAGAUCUGGAGGAUUGCUGGCUGGUCCGGUCCAGUUCUGACAGUAGAGACAACACAGUCAGUUAUUCUGGGUUGAGUGUUCUUGUUGAAGAUCAGUGUACAGUGAGGGAUGAAGGCAGACAAAGAUCCUCCUGUUUCCUCCAUGUCACAGUUCAAGUUCAUUUUGAAGACUUUGAUUGAUCCGAGCGCUGAAGAGGAACAGGAAACGAGGAGUAGAGAGUGAGGGAGGACUUACAGCAAAGGAUCAUGGGAGUCCAACCAGAAACUGCUGCAACAAGGACUCCACCUUCUGAUCACCUGAACCUCUAAUCCAAACCAGUGCUCCAUCACAUUUGAUGUCUUGUCUGUUAUUUUACAUGGAGGGUCAGAGCAGACCAGAUCAUGAGCUCUGACAGACUGGAUCUGGUCCAAAGGUCUCCUGUUGGAGUUCUCGAAGCUCCAUAUUUUAAUCCUGAACACCUGAAGUUUGAUUAUUAAUUAUUUUUAUCUUCAUUCUCUUUCCUUUUUUCAGAUUGUAUAAAUGCAGUUUGUCAGAGAUCAGCUGUUCUUCUCUGGCCUCAGCUCUGAAGUCCAACCCCUCCCAUCUGAGACAUCUGAACCUGAGAAACAACACUCUGCAGGAUUCAGGAGUGAAGCUUCUCUCUGCAGGACUGCAGAGACCAAACUGCAGACUGGAGACUCUGAAGUGAGACACCAUUUCCUUCUGAUCUAACAAUAAGAUGUGACAGCUGCUGCCUUAGAUUUUUCUCUGUGGUUUUUCCAUCAACUUUGGUCGAGCAGUUUGAAUUUGUCGUUGUAAAACUUCAACACAGGAAGAAAAAUCCGACAUUUCAGAGUUGACUUUGAGGAGAACGAUGGAUGUAGAAAGGAAGCAGGAGAAAAUCAGUCCCACAAAUAUUACACAUGCUUGUAGAGGGCAGGAGCAGCACAGACUAAAGGCUGAUAUUGAACUGAUCCACAGUUAAUGUGAUCACUAAUGAAUGAAGUGUCAGAGAAAUGAUGAGCUGCAGAUUGAAACCUGAAGAACAAAGUUAAUCCAACUCUGGAUAUUUCAUUUGGAAACUCUUGAAAACUUGAAUUUCUUCUUUGCUCAGUCGUGUUCAAAUGUAAAAACCAGAUCCAGAUUUGUCUGCAGUUUUCACUUCAGUUUGUUGAACAUUAACAUCAUCUUGUCCAGUUGGUCCAUAAAAACCUCUCUGAUCAAUGAUCUGUUGGUUUAUUUAAGAGUAGUUUGGCAGUUGUUGACAGCAGACGGACAGACCCCUGAAUAAACUCCUGACUGUUUUCAUCUUCAUGAAGAAUUCAGGACUACAAAAGAACCUUUGAGAUUUCUCACAGGAGUUUCUCAGGAUCUCACUAAAGUUUUCUGUUUCUUUAAAAUUUUCUCGACUGAUAAAUUCCUCUGGAUCUUCAAAAAGUUUAGAGAGGAUUUUACAAAGUUCCUGAAGAUCAACUCUGAAAAAGUUCUUCUUCCGUGUCCUUCAGGGUUCAAGAACAUUGAAUCAUUAAAAACAGGAACAGUUUCUUCAGAGGUUACAUGAUUUUUUUCUUUUUUCAGACUGUGACAGGUGUUUAUUAGUCUUUUUGACUCAUUACAAUAAUGAGGAUAAAGUCAUGGACUAAACUUGGGCUCCCAGUUUCCUUGUUGUUGUUUCUUCAGCUAGCAUCAUUGUUUUCAUCUCAGUUAUUAAAGUAAUAAUGAUGCUUCAUAAAUUCAGAGUCACAAAAAAACACCAAACAAACCAAAUCUGAAAAAAAUUCACUUUUUCAUCAAAUGAGUUGAAUCGGUCAGAACAUGAGGUUUGAGUUUUCAUGAGGAGGAAACGAGAAAGAUCUGCUCUGACAGUUAGAAACACAGACGCCUGAAUCUACACUGACAGACAGACAAACACAGACAGAGAGACAGACACACAAACACAGACACACAGAGAUUUUCCUCUUUGUCUCUUUGCUGUGAUGACUGAAGUCACAAAAACAAAGUUGUAUUCGUCACUUUUAUGAUUGAACCAAAUAAGUUAAAGAACCAAACUCAUAGAUUUUCUUCUUCUCAAUAUUAUUUGAACCAUUUUGAUUUUUCUUCUGAUCAAUAUUCAAUGAUCAGAUUGAUCAGGUUCCUGUUUUGGCUCCACUGCCUCUUUUCUGCAGCUCAAUAACUGCUCAUAUGGUUUGAAAGGUUCCUGCAGUAAAACCCGAUUAGAGAGUGGACUAAAUGAAAUGUGAGUGAACUCAGCCAUCAGUGAAUCAAUGACAAAGUGAGAGUAAGAGUGGAUCUGUCUGCUGUCUGACCUUGUUGAGCCUGAUGAAGGUGAGGGAGAAGAGUAAAGCAGUAAAGGUGAUGUUGUUGCAGACAGAGUCAGCUGACCUGUCUCAUCAGAGUCUCAUCCAUUCUCUGUUUGGCAGAGCACUGAUGUUAGAGUCUGAGAGCACAUUCAGGUUCAGCUUCACAUGGGCUGGAUCUGCUCAAUACAAACUCUUGAGACCAGCCUGGUUGAGGGAGGUGGGCUCAGUGUCCUGGGUGACUCUCUCUGAGCUCUUCUUGGUUGAGAGUCUUUCUGGUUUGUCUCUGACUUCCAUGAACUCAGAUCUGGAGGAUUGCUGGCUGGUCCGGUCCAGUUCUGACAGUAGAGACAACACAGUCAGUUAUUCUGGGUUGAGUGUUCUUGUUGAAGAUCAGUGUACAGUGAGGGAUGAAGGCAGACAAAGAUCCUCCUGUUUCCUCCAUGUCACACUUCAAGUUCAUUUUGAAGACUUUGAUUGAUCCGAGCGCUGAAGAGGAACAGGAAACGUGGAGUAGAGAGUGAGGGAGGACUUACAGCAAAGGAUCAUGGGAGUCCAACCAGCAACUGCUGCAACAAGGACUCCACCUUCUGAACACCUGAACCUCUAAUCCAAACCAGUGCUCCAUCACAUUUGAUGUCUUGUCUGUUAUUUUACAUGGAGGGUCAGAGCAGACCAGAUAAUGAGCUCUGACAGACUGGAUCUGGUCCAAAGGUCUCCUGUUGGAGUUCUCUAAGCUCCAUAUUUUAAACCUGAACACGUGAAGUUUGAUUAUUAAUUAUUUUUAUCUUCAUUCUCUUUCCUUUUUUCAGACUGAGGAGCUGCAGUUUGUCAGAGAUCAGCUGUUCUUCUCUGGCCUCAGCUCUGAAGUCCAACCCCGACCAUCUGAAACAUCUGGACCUGAGCAGAAACAAUCUGCAGGAUUCAGGAGUGAAGCUGCUGUGUGACUCUCUGCAGAGUCCAAACUGUAAACUGGAGACUCUAGAGUGAGACUUUUUUCCUCCAUUCAAACAUGAUCAUGAUUUGUUUGUGAUGAUGACACUAAACUGCUGACUCAGGACUGAAACACUGACCCAGACUGAACACCUUCAGUCCAGAGUAGAUUUUCUGCUUCAGUGGAUUAUUUGAUUGACUCCAGUUAGAUCACUGCUGAGCUCCAGUGAAUUAAAACCUGAACCCAAGAAGAAAACUCUUUGUAGAGUUCACAGUGAGAAGCACAUUCAGACAGAAAACAGAAGCAGGGGGAGAUUUGUCAGACGAGAACCAUUCAAACUUUAGUUCAGGACAAGAAAUGGAAAAAACUCAGAGUUUAGUUUCUGACUCUGAUGAAAGUCCAGCUCUGUUACUUUGAAUUUUGUUUUUGAAUCUUUGUGUGAAAAUCUGAAUUUUCUGGUUUAUCUGCACUUUUCUGAAGCCUUGCUGUGUUUAGACUGAAAUAUUUACCUCUCAAAGACGUGAUAUUUUUGGUUCAGCAAAGUGAAAAUAUUCUGAACAUCCUUUGUUUCCCAUCCGUCCUGAAGUCGCUGACAUUUUCUGAAAAUAUUGAGCUGCAUCUACAAUCAGUAAAAAAGUCUCUGAGUUUUUUAUUUCACUAUUUAAUGUGUUUUUGAAUUCAGUGUUUCAAACUGACUUCCUGUUUGGUUCAGCUCUUUGGAGCGUCACUUUUCUUUGAUUCAUACUUUCCAAACCUUUCCCCUGAACUCUACAGAUUUAAGACAUCAGGUUUCAAACUGGAUCAUUUUUCUCUAAAAUCUCAUUAUUUCCUCUUUAUUUAGGUUGUGGCGCUGCAGUUUGACGAAGAUCAGCUGUUCUUCUCUGGCCUCAGCUCUGAAGUCCAACCCCUCCCAUCUGAAAACUCUGUGGCUGUAUGGAAACAAUCUGCAGGGUUCAGACGUGGAGCUGCUGUGUGAUCUUCAGAAGAGUCCAGACUACAGACUGGAGGAUCUGGAGUCAGUAUAGAGUUGGAGUUAGUCUGUGCUGAUCUCUCCUGUUCCUCUCCACACAGUAUCACAGCAGAUAUUCAGUAUUUCCUGCUGACUCUUCGACCCUCUCAGAGGAUUAUCUCUUUAGUGAAGCUGUGAGAACAGAAAUCAUCAAACCAGGAGUGUAAGAGUGUCAGUGAUGAAAAAAGUGUCUCCUCGUCUCUAUAUUUCAGAUCAAAUGUAGAAAUGAGACAUAAUGAAACAGAAAUGUUCAGUUUCUGCUCUGAAGUCCAGUUUAUAGUUCUCUGUAUUCAACACAGACUUUAUUUCUCUGCUAACUUGUUGAUUUUGAGCUCUAAGUCUGAAAACAGACAGCUGUUCUUUAUACUUGUUAUUUUCACAGCAGGUUUGUUCGAUCAGCUUUAACACAUUUGACAGGAAUGAUUUCUUUAUUUUGAUGAUGUUGGUUUAUUUGUGAGGAAACCUGCUGCUUUACACCAUCACUUCUGGUCUGAGCAGGACUGAGACCUGCUGGUCUGUAAACUGGAUGUUCUUCAGUCCAGCUGAUGAAGUGAGUCUCAGAGUGGAAACACUGAACGUCUUUUUUUCUCUCCUCAGAUGGAGUUAACAUCUGUCAGAGUGAAUAAGAAGAGGAUCGUGUGUUUCCUGACGAUCAGAGAGGUGGAGGCAGCAGCAGUGAGGGUGAGGUGAGUCUCUGACUGAGAGACUGACUGACCAAUCACAGCGGGCGGAGAGGACUCUGGGAGCUGCACUUUGACCUGCUCUGAGAUCAGCUCAGGACCUGGACUCUGGAUAUUUGAUAUUUUCCCUCAUACUCUGGGAUCAAACAGUCUGAACAGGUUUGUUUUGUUGAUGGAAACAUGAUCAUAAAUUUACACUUUGAUUGGAUUACUUUGUUUUCACCAUGAUGCAGCGCCACCCAGUGGAAAUAUAAAGAGGUGGAGUUGAUUUAUUCCCUCAUAUUUCUGCAGCAGGAGUUGAUACCAUGUGUGAGAGUAGAUCAGUCAGAAGUUCAGAUUAAACCCAAAGGUUUUUUCUUUCCUUUGCACCGUUAGAGACCGAAUAUAAACUGAAGGGAGAGGAAGAGAAGUGAGGAGAGAUGGAGGUGAAGGGAGGAGGAGGAGGACAGGGUUUGGGGUUUUAACAAAAAUCUGAAGCUUUAUUCUUUCACUUGAUUAUUUUUAUUCAUCCGUUUUCUUCUUCAUUUUCUGAACUGAUUGUAAAUAUUGACUGGAGGUAAAUUGACCUUAUUUUAUAUUAUUAGACAUUAUUUUCCGUCUCUUUACAUGUUUUUGUUCUCAUAUCAUCUUUGUGCUCAUCAAUAAUCGAUUCCCUCCAGUUUGAACAAAUACAAUUAUUAAACCAUAAAUGAGACCUGAGAGUAAAAUUAAAAUGUGUGAAAUAUAAUCAGUCAAAGGAAAGAUUCUUAAACAAAAACAAAAUCAUUAUUUUUACUUUAUUAUGAUGGAGAAGUUUUCCUCUGACAGACAAAAAUAACCAUAUUGACCGGAGUCUGGAAAAAGUGAGAUCAGCAUCUAUUCAGGGUGAAGUCAUUAAUGUGGUCGAUGCUGUUUUAUAAACUCAGUGUUGUUGAUUACAAUCUCAGCUUCAUAAACUGAUGCUACAGUGGAGUGACUUCCUGUAAAAUCCACUGGCUUUGUGAGACCGUCAGCUUUCAGGAGAUCAGUUUGUGUUUCUGUGACACUCCAAAGCUUUUCUAUCCCACAGAAAAGAUCGGUGUGUUUUCAGAGACCUUCCUGAUCCCAUCCCUCCAAAAUAAAAAUAAUCUGAUGGUUUAUGGAUUCAUUUCAGUAACAAAGUGUCAUUUCUGUUGUUAGCCAAUCAGAGGCUGUAUCUGCCAUCAGCUGACCUGUAAAGGUCCAAUCAGAAGUCAGGACAGCUCAUGCCACAGUCUGAUCACACUACAGACACAUAAAACAUAGAACUAUUGUAAACAGAUUUGUCCUCUUCAGUUUAUCUACUAUCAAUAGAUCUGUGCUCUGUCUGUGUAACACUCUGUUGGUUCUUCAUUUACACCAGAUCAUUUUUUAUUUCAUUUCACUGUAACAAUGCCAUUUAAAGAUAAUAAAAACUUUAUUUGAACCAAAACAUGUUAAAAACGUCAACUCGGCUCGUUUCAUUCACUGUGUGCAAUUGAUUAUUAUUAUUUUUCAUUCAAACAGAAACUAGAUUUGGUCUUUAAAAAGUCCUCAAAGUGAGUCUGAAAAGUAGAGGAAGGUUUUAUCAUCAGGGUGCAGCACAGUUGUUUCCUGUGUUUUCAUUUGUGAUAUUCUCUCUAAGGUGUGUUAUUGUUCAUUUAAAGUAUGUGGAGGACAAAUCCACACAUCUAACAAAGAAGGUAAAAUAUAAAGAUAGGAGAUUUCUGCAUGACAUCAACGAUAUCCUGGAUUUAGUUUUCUAAGCAACAGGUGGUCGUCUUUUAUCGGGGGUACUUUGAUCCAGAAAUCUGAAAAGGGGUUACUAAAGCAAAAGAAGAAAAACCAGAGACUGUAUAUAGAAUGGACAGAGUCUGCCUCCUCGCUGGGUGAAGCCACUCUGAGAACAGCACCCUCUGUUGAUGGGCUGCAGUAUAGGUCAUAAAUCCCGCCUGCGCCAGCAAAGCUUAUGGAGCUGUGGACGAACUUUAGAAAUUUAUUACACAGAACAUAAUUUUUUCUCCCUCCUGGUUGUGAUGUUGACAUGUAGUUAUUGUCAGACUGGUUUGUGCUCAAGUCCUCUUUUUUCUGUGAAGCUCCAUUUUUAAAAGUUAUUAGGGGGUUCAUGUUUGCUAUGACGUUUCACAGCCAUAAGGAAUAACCAAUCGGAGCCUAGCACUUCUAGCCAAUCAGAUGCGAAGGAGGGUGGGACCUUCCCCUACCAUCCCACGAAAAAAAAAACCAAACACGUCCGGGUUUGCCGACCUUUAUUUCUGAGCCCCAGAUAACAGGACAGAGAUACCUAAAGCAUACAACGUGAACUUGUGUUAUCACAUCAACAUAUUUGGCUCCUACACUGAAUAUAAUGUUGGACAGUGAUCUUUGUAAAGUGAGGUGAAGGAGGAGUUUGUGUAGUGACAACACAAUCACACUGUGUGCAAAAAUAAAAACCUGUUCAACCAAAUCUUCACAUUUAGUUGGGGUAUGAGAAGAGGAGUGCUCAUCUGAAGUUUGUUGGUUUGACCAGCAGGUGGAGCUGCUGCAUUAACAAUAAACUGAGACUCAACCAAACAAACAAGUUCCUGUUUUAGUGAACUUUGAAUUUGGACUCAGGAGAGGAAGAUGGUUGUCAAGAAUACUGAACUUAAAGGAUGAUCAAUAACGGUCAGUAAAUGAGGAGAAGAAUCUGUGAUCUGGUGGUUUAGGUUUCAGUGAAAACAGUCAGAGUGAAAGUGAAAGUAUGUGAGCUGAAAAACAGACUCCAUUUUGAGAAAAGAAGAGAGAGGAGAGGACGAGGAGACAGGGUGAGUGUUUACUCUGUUUUAGUUUUAAUGUCAAACUCUUUAUCUGUUUUAUCUGUUAAUGAAAAAAUGAUUUACUGACUAAAACACUUAAAAACUGUAAAACAAAGAAACCUGAGCAGACAAAGAGCUGGAUCAGUUCUUCAUACAGGAAACUGUGUACGUGCAGUUCUUCCUCCUCUUUGUUUAGACUUGUCUUUUUGGUAAAAAUAUUAAUCAGAAUCUUUUUAGCGUCUCAUUUCAACUUUAAUCCAGUCUCCUUAAGUUUUUAUGAGAGUUCAGGGACCUCACAGCUGAUUUUGUUUUGACCAUGAAUCAGACAAGGAUCAGAGAGAGGCCCUGCAGGGUGGGGAGACAUCAGAAGUUCUUGGAUAUUAAACCUGUAUAACUCUUAAAGAGGGGGAUGAAGCUGUUUUUAGACUCUGUACUUCCUUUCUGAUUCCUCUUUUAUUUCUGAACUCUCUCUUCCUGUUUGUAUCUCACCUGUUUGUCUUCUUUGUCCUCAGGUUGUAUAACUCGGUUUCAGCCUCCAUAAAUUUGCACAACAGAAGAUGGAGAAGAUGAGUGUUGGUGUCGAGGAAGAGGAGGGCAGAGCAGAGUCUGAUAUGUUUGACUGUCUGUCUAUGAAGAGUGACCAGUCUAAAGGUUUUGAUAUAAACUUCAGUAAAGAACCAGGACCCCCAGAGGAGGACAGAACAAAGUCUGUUAUCUCCAGCUGUCUGUCUAUGAAGAGUGACCGGUCUAAAGAUCCUCCACCAAAAUUCAGUGAAGAACCAGGACCCUCAGAUUCACAGUAAGAGAAACACUUUUCAAUCACCAAACUCUCAAACAACAACAAUUGACGUUUCAAAUACAAAACUUUAAAUCCUGACCCCUCUGUUUUCUCCUCUGUUCUCAAAACACUGAUUUUCCUCUUAAACCUGCCAACCUGGAUAAAAUUCAAUUCAAUUCAACUUUAUUUAUAAAGCCCAUUUCAUGUACAAGGCAGACUCAAUGUUCUUCACAACAGGUGUACAUAGUUAAAAACAGUUAUACAAAAAUCAAUUAGAAAUCAAUGUAAGAGUGUAAGUGCAAGUCAACUUCACUGCAUGCACACUUAAACUCGUACAUGCGCACGCACUCACACAUGGACACGUGCACACGUACACACAUACACACACAGUUUAAAAGAAUGCUAUAGAAAUCUGUUUUUAAAGAUGGCUACUGAUGUGUCUAACUGUGUCAGGCAUGGUGUUCCAUUUUUGUGGGGCAUAAACACUCAAAGCUGCCUCCCCUCAUUUGGAUCUGGUGUGAGGGAUGAGUAAGUUGCCACUGCCUGUUGACCGAAGUGUUCUUGCUGAGGUGUAGGUGAUGAGCAUAUCUGUGAUGUACUGAGGUGCAAGGCCAUGUAGUGCUUUGUAAACCAGGAGGAGUAUUUUGAAAUCGAUUCUUGUCCUAACGGGUAACCAAUGUACAGAUUUGAGAACGGGUGUGAUGUGUUGAUAUUUUUUGGUACCAGUGAGAAUACAUGCAGCUGCAUUUUGAAUUAACUGUAACCUCUGAAGACUUGAUUUUGGGAGUCCAGUGAAUAAACCGUUAUCCAGUAGUAAUCCAGUCUACUUCUUAUAAAUGCAUGGAUGAAUUUUUCUAAGUCUGAUUUUGACAGAAAGCCCCUCAAUUUGGAGAUAUUUUUGAGAUGAUAGAAAGAUGAUCUUGAAUUGAAUCUUGUAAUGGAUAAAAGGCUGGUAAAGAAAAACUCACUGAGCACAGAUUUACUUAUUAUUGUUGAUGUUUAUAAAAAUGAAAGUCGUUUAAAACAGCAUUUGAAAAGGAUUCUGACUUCUUGUAUUUUCUGAUUUGGUUCCUGUGUUUGGGACGUUUUGAGCCUGUUAGUCUUUGGACUGUGGUCUGUAGACCCCAGAAAACAGUCUGUGGGUCACAAAAUACCAGAAGACCAAUGAAGAAAUAAAUCCUGAGAAAUAAAAACUCAUUCAGAGCAUCUGUCUGUUAUUAGACCUUUAGAUCUGAUCGGUGGAAAAAAAAGUUUUAAACUGUCAGAGAAAAUCUCUCUACCUUCAAAAUCACUUUAGUUUUUUCUCUUGUCACGACACUUCAGGCAGCAGCAGCUGAAUAUUUUACAGGAGAUUGUUUUAUGUUAGAGAAAAGAGAAACUCUGGUUUAAUAAAUGUUUCUUAUUCUGUAUCUUUCAAACAUGAAAUAAUAAAGAAAAUAAAUGUUCUUUAUUUCCACAGAGAGACACAGAGAUGUGACUCUGUGGAGGAGCAGCUGUCCAGAUGUUCUUUAUGUCAGGACGUCCUGAAGGAUCCAGUCUCUACCCGCUGUGGACACCAGUCUACUUCUUCAGGAUACACCUCCUGUCCCCAGUGUGGAAAAAGAACCAGAACAGUUCUUGUCUUUCAGACAGACAGCCAGUCCAGCUCUGAUCGAAGUAAGUCUGAACACCUUUAAACCCUAAAUUAUACAAUUUCUGCCAGAAUUAUUUUGCUUAUUUUAGCCAUAAAAUUGGCAGAAAAUGUCCUAUGAGUGAGUGCUUUUUUAUUCAUUGGCUUUCAACCCUGCAUGAGACUCGGCUCCUGUUUUAGUGUUUUAUGUUUUUUUUUUUUUUUUUUUUUUAUGUCUAUGCUUUUUUGUCUAUUUAUAUACAGCACUUUGGUUGGCUGUGGUUGUUUUAAAGUGCUUUACAAAUAAAGUUGAGUUUUACCCAUUUUUCCAGAACACUUCAAACUUUCAAUAUCUGGCUGUCAUUUACGAUUUACUGCCUGUUAAAAGAGUGCUAUAACAUUUUAAGAUAAAGAAAAACACAAAAACGGAAUACGAUUUUUUGAGUUUUAAUGAGAAAAAACAGAAAAUAUUCAUGAAAAACAGAUUUUUCAUUUGAAAUAAAAAAAAAUUAAAGAGUAUCAAACAUAUUUACAACAAAAACUUUGGAGUGCUGUCUCUCCAAGUGCAAAAACAGGCUAAAUAAAUACAACUAUGUCCACGCGUUUCUCCUCGUUUCUCCUCUCUCACUCAGAGGUCUUUGUGAAACUGUCAGAAGCUGUUCCUUUCUGUCUGCGGACACAGACCCACAUCACACCACUCACACUUCCAGGCAGUUCUCCUUAUGACAAAGUUUGCAGCGUCGUCUCCUCAUGCUAGUUCUUUGAGACUUCAUCUGUCCAUGGCUUGUUUGGGCACGUAGCUAUACUCUACUAUAAGCGAAGUGGAUGUAAUUCUCGGCGGGCAUGUGUUUCUCGGUACAACAUCAACGGUUGCAAAAUGAGAAAACGACGAGAAAACCGCCGAAGAUGAAGACUUGGUGGUAAGAAGAAAAGCAACGUCACUAACCUUUGAAGAUGAAGACUCGUUGAUUAAAAGAACGUCACUAACCAUAGAAGAUGAAGACUCGUUGAUUAAAAGAAAAGCAACGUCACUAACCAUUGUAGAUGAAUAUUCGUUGAUUAAAAGAAAAGCCACGUCACUUAUCUGUAAUUAUUUCGGUUACAAAAAGGAUGACGUCACCUAACACCUGUUCUGUGACGGCAGUGUCUUUCAUCUGUUUCCACAAUAACGUCCCAGCAGAACAAUAAAAACUAAAAAUAUCUCUAAGACAGACAGAAGCCAUUCUACUAACAUUCACUAAAAGAGGGAAGAUCAGUGCAGGUUAACUGUCCUCAAGAUUUCAGCAGAAAGUCAGAUUCAGAUCAUCUGCUAAAAAUUCCUCUAUUUUUUAAUAACGCUUAUAUAUCACAGGGUUGAACAACUUUGCAAUGUUAGUGUUUUCUAAUAUCAUGCUGUCUUAAUAGGCACACGUUACUACAAACUCACUGCCUUAGCAUGGUAUUCUAAUAAAGUCACAACAGGUUAUAAGUGUUGAUUUACUCAUAAAAUAACGUAAAUAAAUUAAAAACGACACAGAGAGCGCUUCAUUCAUCCAGAAACCAACACAGAAAACCAACCAGUCAAACUUUACCUUUCUCUGUCUGAAGUUGCUCUGAAAGCUUCUCCAUCUGUCCCAAAGUCGUCUGUAAACCUCAGUGGAGGUUUUCUCACUUGGGAGAGUUUAUCACAGACAUUUUCCUUUGAAAUAAUCCCUUUUUUGUCACUUUUCUCUCUUUUUGCUCCGUUUCUCUGCUCUGUUGUGUGUCUAUCCGCUGCUCCCUUUGAGAGGGGGAGAGGGGACGAGGAGACAGAUUUUCUCACUUCCCCAAACAGCAGGAGUGAAAUUACCGUAAUAACCGUUUAUUGACCGUGUGGCGCAACUUCUCAGCUUUCAGAAACCGUUGGAGAUUUUUUUUUGAUAGAACAAACUACCGCAAAGUUACGGUAAUUUAAAGAGCGCCUGUAUAAAGGUGUCGGCGCCGACGGACUGUGAGGAAAAGUCUGUGUGGAUGAAAACUCAGCUGACUGAUUUUCACAAAGACGUUUCAGUGUUGAGAAGUUUGGUUCAUUUUAUUUUUCUUCUCUUUCAGAUGAUGGCCUCCCGCAGGAGGUUUUAGAUGAACAUAAGAUCAGUCUGAAGAGGAGAUGUGAACGUGUGAAUGAAGGAAGUGAUGAAACAGGAAGUAGUCAAACCCUCCUCAACAGGAUCUUCACUGAGCUCUACAUCACAGAGGGACUGAGUGAAGAGGUGAACACCCAACAUGAGGUGAGACAGCUGGAGACUACUUCAAAGAUGAAGACCCUCCAUGACAUGCCCAUCAGGUGUCAUGAGAUCUUUAAAACCUUACCUGACCAACAGAAGAAGCUCAUCAGAGUGGUUCUGACCAACGGCGUGGCUGGUGUUGGAAAAACCUUCUCAGUGCAGAAGUUCACUCUGGACUGGGCAGAGGGUUUGGAGAACCAAGACCUCCAUCUGGUGGUCCUGCUUUCAUUCAGGGAGCUGAACCUGAUCAGAGAUGAGCGCUUCAGUCUUCUGAGUCUGCUCCAUGUUUUCCAUCCAACCCUAGAGAAGGUCACAGCAGAGACGCUGGCUGUCUGUAAACUUCUGUUCAUCUUUGACGGUCUGGAUGAAAGCAGACUGUCUCUGGAUUUCACAGACUCUGAGGUGGUGUCUGACGUCACACAGAAGUCUUCACUCAACGUUCUGAUAACAAACCUCGUCAAGGGGAACCUGCUCCCCUCAGCUCUCAUCUGGAUAACUUCUCGACCUGCAGCAGCCAAUCAGAUCCCUCCUUCACAUGUGGACAGGAUAACAGAAGUACGAGGCUUCACUGACGCCCAGAAGGAGGAGUACUUCAGGAAGAGGUUCAGAGAUGAAGAUCUGUCCAGAAGAAUCAUCCAACACAUCAAGUCCUCCAGGAGCCUCCACAUCAUGUGUCAGAUCCCGGUCUUCUGCUGGAUCACUGCGACAGUUCUGGAGGACAUGAUGAGAAGAAAGCAGAGAGGAGAGCUGCCCAAGACCCUGACUGACAUGUACUCACACUUCCUGCUGGUCCAGACUCAGAGGAAGAAGCAGAAGUAUGAAGGAGGACAUGAGACAAGUCCUCAGGAGCUGAUGGAUGCUGACAGUGACGUCCUCCUGAAGCUGGGGAGGCUGGCAUUGGAACAUCUGAACAGUGGAAACAUCAUGUUCUACCAAGAAGACCUGGAGCGGUGUGGUCUGGAUGUCUCAGAGGCCUCAGUGUACUCAGGAGUUUGUACAGAGAUCUUCAGAAGAGAGAGUGUGAUCUUCCAGAAAACUGUUUACUGUUUCGUUCAUCUGAGCGUUCAGGAGUUUCUGUCUGCAGUCUACAUGAUCCACAGUUUCACAACCAGGAACACAGAAGCUCUGAAGACUUUCCUAAGAAGCAACGAUGAUGAAGAUAAAAUGUCUUCUUCAGAGAUGGUUGACAGAUUUUUUCAAAACCUGGAUUAUUUUUUCUCAUCUCAGGAUGUCUUCCUGAAGAGUGUCAUGAUGAAAUCCCUUGUCAGUAAAAACGGUCACCUGGACCUGUUUGUUCGCUUCCUUCAUGGACUCUCUGUGGCGUCAAACCAGAGACUCUUAGGAGGUCUGCUGGGUCACACAGACAACAGUCCAGAAAUGAUCCAAACAGUCAUCAAGAACCUGAAGGAGAUGAACAGAGAAGAUAUCUCUCCUGACAGAAGCAUCAACAUCUUCCACUGUCUGAUGGAGAUGAACGAUCUGUCAGUUCAUCAGGAGAUUCAAGAGCUCCUGAAGUCAGGGAACAAAUCAGAGAAGAAACUCUCAGUGUUCCAGUGCUCUGCUCUGGCCUACAUGCUGCAGAUGUCAGAGGAGGUUCUGGAGGAGUUGGACUUAAAGAAUUAUAAAACAUCAGACCAGGGACGACGGAGACUGAUCCCAGCUGUGAGGAACUGCAGAAAGGCUGUGUGAGUCCAGGUUUUAUUCUCAGAAUAGUGUAAAUGAUCCCUGUAGUUCUUCUAAUGUCCACGUUACUGAUGAUGUUCUUCUUCAAAUAGAAAUCCACUCAAAUAUCAGGGAGGGGGUUUCUUCAGCAAAAACAUGAUCCUGGUGUCUAAAGUCCUGUUAGUCCAGGAUGAGGUCUACCCGUGGACCCCUGAGAACUUGUCCUAAUUGUGGAGGACCUCUUUGUUUUGAAUCGUGUCUGUAAUGAAUAAAGUGGAACUUUGAGGACAAAUCAGCGACCAUAUCUGAGGACACACAGAGGUCUUCUGAUGAUGGUAUCAGUCCAGAUCAACAUCUCAGUCAGUUGUGGUGAACUUGAGUUUGAAGAAGGUGUCUGCAGCUUCUUCCUGCUGGUUUUCAGGUUGGAAAUGAUGAAUCAGUUGUAAAUGAGGGUGUUGACAGCAUUGAUGGUGAAAAUAGAACUGGAUCAUUUUCUACACAGUGGCAGAACUGUCUUCAAAGAAAUGUUUUUAUCUGAACCAAACAGAGAAACAGGAGCUGCUGUGAUUUAGUGAGUCGUCUUCUGAUUGGUCAACAGUCAGUGCCUUACAUUAUAGCAGGAUGUCAACACUAAACACUGAGAGGAGCAUAAGUCAUGGAGUCAUUUGUCUUGAACAUCUAAACAGUUUUUUUUUUCUUCUAAACUUGGACUUCCUGUCUUCUCUCAUGGCUGUGGUCCUGAUAUUAGUAUCUGUCUGGUUAGAAACAGGCCGUCUGUCAAACCAAAGAUCAUGUUUGAGUUGUUUUUGGGGAAGAGAAACAUCAAAUAACCCUUUAAUAAAAUAUUGUUUGAUAUUUAUGUUGUUACAGAUUUUCUCUCUGUGGACUCUCAAAGACUCACUGUGAAGUUGUGGCCUCAGCUCUGAAGUCCAACCCCUCCCAUCUGAGACAUCUGGACCUGAGUAACAACGAGCUGAAGGAUUCAGGAGUGAAGCUUCUCUCUGCAGGACUGGAGAGUCCAAACUGCAGACUGGAGACUCUGAUGUGAGACACCAUUUCCUUCUGAUCUAACAAUAAGAUGUGACAGCUGCUGCCUUAGAUUUUUCUCUGUGGUUUUUCCAUCAACUUUGGUCGAGCAGUUUGAAUUUGUCGUUGUAAAACUUCGACACAGGAAGAAAAAUCUGACAUUUCAGAGUUGACUUUGAGGAGAACGAUGGAUGUAGAAAGGAAGCAGGAGAAAAUCAGUCCCACAAAUAUUACACAUGCUUGUAGAGGGCAGGAGCAGCACAGACUAAAGGCUGAUACUGAACUGAUCCACAGUUAAUGUGAUCACCAAUGAAUGAAUGAAGUGUCAGAGAAAUGAUGAGCUGCAGAUUGAAACCUGAAGAACAAAGUUAAUCCAACUCUGGAUAUUUCAUUUGGAAACUCUUGAAAACUUGAAUUUCUUCUUUGCUCAGUCGUGUUCAAAUGUAAAAACCAGAUCCAGAUUUGUCUGCAGUUUUCACUUCAGUUUGUUGAACAUGAACAUCAUCUUGUCCAGCUGGUCCAUAAAAACCUCUCUGAUCAAUGAUCUGUUGGUUUAUUUAAGAGUAGUUUGGCAGUUGUUGACAGCAGACGGACAGACCCCUGAAUAAACUCCUGACUGUUUUCAUCUUCAUGAAGAAUUCAGGACUACAAAAGAACCUUUGAGAUUUCUCACAGGAGUUUCUCAGGAUCUCACUAAAGUUUUCUGUUUCUGUAAAAUUUUCUUGACUGAUAAAUUCCUCUGGAUCUUCAAAAAGUUUAGAGAAGAUUUUACAAAGUUCCUGAAGAUCAACUCUGAAAAAGUUCUUCUUCCGUGUCCUUCAGGGUUCAAGAACAUUGAAUCAUUAAAAACAGGAACAGUUUCUUCAGAGGUUACAUGAUUUUUUUCUUUUUUCAGACUGUGACAGGUGUUUAUUAGUCUUUUUGACACGUUACAAUAAUGAGGAUAAAGUCAUGGACUAAACUUGGGCUCCCAGUUUCCUUGUUGUUGUUUCUUCAGCUAGCAUCAUUGUUUUCAUCACAGUUCUUAAAGUAAUAAUGAUGCUUCAUAAAUUCAGAGUCACAAAAAAACACCAAACAAACCAAAUCUGAAAAAAAUCCACUUUUUCAUCAAAUGAGUUUAAUCGGUCAGAACAUGAGGUUUGAGUUUUCAUGAGGAGGAAACGAGAAAGAUCUGCUCUGACAGUGAGAAACACAGACGCCUGAAUCUACACUGACAGACACACAAAUACAGACAGAGAGACACAGACAGAGAGACACAGACACAGACACACAAAUACAGACACACAGAGACACAGACACACAAACAGACUAACAGAGAUUUUCUUCUUCGUCUCUUUGCUGUGAUGACUGAAGUCACAAAAACAAAGUUUUCUUCGUCACUUUUAUGAUUGAACCAAAUAAGUUAAAGAACCAAACUCUCAGAUUUUCUUCUUCUCAAUAUUAUUUGAACCAUUUAGAUUUUUCUCCUGAUCAAUAUUCAAUGAUCAGAUUGAUCAGGUUCCUGUUUUGGCUCCACUGCCUCUUUUCUGCAGCUCAAUAACUGCUCAUAUGGUUUGAAAGGUUCCUGCAGUAAAACCCGAUUAGAGAGUGGACUAAAUGAAAUGUGAGUGAACUCAGCCAUCAGUGAAUCAAUGACAAAGUGAGAGGAAGAGUGGAUCUGUCUGCUGUCUGACCUUGUUGAUCCUGAUGAAGGUGAGGGAGAAGAGUAAAGCAGUAAAGGUGAUGUUGUUGCAGACAGAGUCAGCUGACCUGUCUCAUCAGAGUCUCAUCCAUUCUCUGUUUGGCAGAGCGCUGAUGUUACAGUCUGAGAGCACAUUCAGGUUCAGCUUCACAUGGGCUGGAUCUGCUCAAUACAAACUCUUGAGACCAGCCUGGUUGAGGGAGGUGGGCUCAGUGUCCUGGGUGACUCUCUCUGAGCUCUUCUUGGUUGAGAGUAUUUCUGGUUUGUCUCUGACUUCCAUGAACUCAGAUCUGGAGGAUUGCUGGCUGGUCCGGUCCAGUUCUGACAGUAGAGACAACACAGUCUGUUAUUCUGGGUUGAGUGUUCUUGUUGAAGAUCAGUGUACAGUGAGGGAUGAAGGCAGACAAAGAUCCUCCUGUUUCCUCCAUGUCACAGUUCAAGUUCAUUUUGAAGACUUUGAUUGAUACGAGCGCUGAAGAGGAACAGGAAACGUGGAGUAGAGAGUGAGGGAGGACUUACAGCAAAGGAUCAUGGGAGUCCAACCAGCAACUGCUGCAACAAGGACUCCACCUUCUGAUCAUCUGAACCUCUAAUCCAAACCAGUGCUCCAUCACAUUUGAUGUCUUGUCUGUUAUUUUACAUGGAGGGUCAGAGCAGACCAGAUCAUGAGCUCUGACAGACUGGAUCUGGUCCAAAGGUCUCCUGUUGGAGUUCUCUAAGCUCCAUAUUUUAAUCCUGAACACCUGAAGUUUGAUUAUUAAUUAUUUUUAUCUUCAUUCUCUUUCCUUUUUUCAGAUUGUAUAAAUGCAGUUUGUCAGAGAUCAGCUGUUCUUCUCUGGCCUCAGCUCUGAAGUCCAACCCCUCCCAUCUGAGAUAUCUGGACCUGAGUUACAACAAUCUGCAGGAUUCAGGAAUGAAGCUGCUGUGUGACUCUCUGCAGAGUCCAAACUGUAAACUGGAGACUCUGAGGUGAGACACCAUUUCCUUCUGAUCUAACAAUAAGAUGUGACAGCUGCUGCCUUAGAUUUUUCUCUGUGGUUUUUCCAUCAACUUUGGUCGAGCAGUUUGAAUUUGUCGUUGUAAAACUUCAACACAGGAAGAAAAAUCCGACAUUUCAGAGUCGACUUUGAGGAGAACGAUGGAUGUAGAAAGGAAGCAGGAGAAAAUCAGUCCACAAAUAUUACACAUGCUUGUAGAGGGCAGGAGCAGCACAGACUAAAGGCUGAUACUGAACUGAUCCACAGUUAAUGUGAUCACUAAUGAAUGAAUGAAGUGUCAGAGAAAUGAUGAGCUGCAGAUUGAAACCUGAAGAACAAAGUUAAUCCAACUCUGGAUAUUUCAUUUGGAAACUCUUGAAAACUUGAAUUUCUUCUUUGCUCAGUCGUGUUCAAAUGUAAAAACCAGAUCCAGAUUUUUCUGCAGUUUUCACUUCAGUUUGUUGAACAUGAACAUCAUCUUGUCCAGUUGGUCCAUAAAAACCUCUCUGAUCAAUGAUCUGUUGGUUUAUUUAAGAGUAGUUUGGCAGUUGUUGACAGCAGACGGACAGACCCCCUGAAUAAACUCCUGACUAUUUUCAUCUUCAUGAAGAAUUCAGGACUACAAAAAAACCUUUGAGAUUUCUCACAGGAGUUUCUCAGGAUCUCACUAAAGUUUUCUGUUUCUGUAAAAUUUUCUUGACUGAUAAAUUCCUCUGGAUCUUCAAAAAGUUUAGAGAGGAUUUUACAAAGUUCCUGAAGAUCAACUCUGAAAAAGUUCUUCUUCCGUGUUCCUUCAGGGUUCAAGAACAUUGAAUCAUUAAAAACAGGAACAGUUUCUUCAGAGGUUACAUGAUUUUUUUCUUUUUUCAGACUGUGACAGGUGUUUAUUAGUCUUUUUGACACGUUACAAUAAUGAGGAUAAAGUCAUGGACUAAACUUGGGCUCCCAGUUUCCUUGUUGUUGUUUCUUCAGCUAGCAUCAUUGUUUUCAUCUCAGUUAUUAAAGUAAUAAUGAUGCUUCAUAAAUUCAGAGUCACAAAAAAACACCAAACAAACCAAAUCUGAAAAAAAUCCACUUUUUCAUCAAAUGAGUUUAAUCGGUCAGAACAUGAGGUUUGAGUUUUCAUGAGGAGGAAACGAGAAAGAUCUGCUCUGACAGUGAGAAACACAGACGCCUGAAUCUACACUGACAGACACACAAAUACAGACAGAGAGACACAGACAGAGAGACACAGACACAGACACAGACACACAAAUACAGACACACAGAGAGACAGACACACAAACACAGACUAACAGAGAUGUUCCUCUCUGUCUCUUUGCUGUGAUGACUGAAGUCACAAAAACAAAGUUUUCUUCGUCACGUUUAUGAUUGAACCAAAUAAGUUAAAGAACCAAACUCUCAGAUUUUCUUCUUCUCAAUAUUAUUUGAACCAUUUUGAUUUUUCUCCUGAUCAAUAUUCAAUGAUCAGAUUGAUUAGGUUCCUGUUUUGGCUCCACUGCCUCUUUUCUGCAGCUCAAUAACUGCUCAUAUGGUUUGAAAGGUUCCUGCAGUAAAACCCGAUUAGAGAGUGGACUAAAUGAAAUGUGAGUGAACUCAGCCAUCAGUGAAUCAAUGACAAAGUGAGAGGAAGAGUGGAUCUGUCUGCUGUCUGACCUUGUUGAGCCUGAUGAAGGUGAGGGAGAAGAGUAAAGCAGUAAAGGUGAUGUUGUUGCAGACAGAGUCAGCUGACCUGUCUCAUCAGAGUCUCAUCCAUUCUCUGUUUGGCAGAGCACUGAUGUUACAGUCUGAGAGCACAUUCAGGUUCAGCUUCACAUGGGCUGGAUCUGCUCAAUACAAACUCUUGAGACCAGCCUGGUUGAGGGAGGUGGGCUCAGUGUCCUGGGUGACUCUCUCUGAGCUCUUCUUGGUUGAGAGUAUUUCUGGUUUGUCUCUGACUUCCAUGAACUCAGAUCUGGAGGAUUGCUGGCUGGUCCGGUCCAGUUCUGACAGUAGAGACAACACAGUCAGUUAUUCUGGGUUGAGUGUUCUUGUUGAAGAUCAGUGUACAGUGAGGGAUGAAGGCAGACAAAGAUCCUCCUGUUUCCUCCAUGUCACAGUUCAAGUUCAUUUUGAAGACUUUGAUUGAUCCGAGCGCUGAAGAGGAACAGGAAACGUGGAGUAGAGAGUGAGGGAGGACUUACAGCAAAGGAUCAUGGGAGUCCAACCAGCAACUGCUGCAACAACGACUCCACCUUCUGAUCAUCUGAACCUCUAAUCCAAACCAGUGCUCCAUCACAUUUGAUGUCUUGUCUGUUAUUUUACAUGGAGGGUCAGAGCAGACCAGAUCAUGAGCUCUGACAGACUGGAUCUGGUCCAAAGGUCUCCUGUUGGAGUUCUCUAAGCUCCAUAUUUUAAACCUGAACACCUGAAGUUUGAUUAUUAAUUAUUUUUAUCUUCAUUCUCUUUCCUUUUUUCAGAUUGUAUAAAUGCAGUUUGUCAGAGAUCAGCUGUUCUUCUCUGGCCUCAGCUCUGAAGUCCAACCCCUCCCAUCUGAAACAUCUGGACCUGAGUUACAACAAGCUGCAGGAUUCAGGAGUGAAGCUUCUGUGUGAAUUUGUGCAGAGUCCAAACUGUAAACUGGAGACUCUGAAGUGAGACUUUUUCCCUCCAUUCAAACAUGAUCAUGAUUUGUUUGUGAUGAUGACACUAAACUGCUGACUCAGGACUGAAAUACUGACCCAGACUGAACACCUUCAGUCCAGAGUAGAUUUUCUUCAUCAGUGGAUUAUUUGAUUGACUCCAGUUAGAUCACUGCUGAGCUCCAGUGAAUUAAAACCUGAACCCAAGAAGAAAACUCUUUGUAGAGUUCACAGUGAGAAGCUCAUUCAGACAGAAAACAGAAGCAGGGGGAGAUUUGUCAGAUGAGAACCAUUCAAACUUUUGUUCAGGACAAGAUCAGGGAAUAGAAAAAACUCAGAGUUUAGUUUCUGACACUGAUGAAAGUCCAGCUCUGUUACUUUGAAUUUUGUUUUUGAAUCUUUGUGUGAAAAUCUGAAUUUUCUGGUUUAUCUGCACUUUUCUGAAGCCUUACUGUGUUUAGACUGAAAUAUUUACCUCUCAAAGACGUGAAAUUUUUGGUUCAGCAAAGUGAAAAUAUUCUGAACAUCCUUUGUUUCCCAUCCGUCCUGAAGUCACUGACAUUUUCUGAAAAUAUUGAGCUGCAUCUACAAUCAGUAAAAAAGUCUCUGAGUUUUUUAUUUCACUAUUUAAUGUGUUUUUGAAUUCACUGUUUCAAACUGACUUCCUGUUUGGUUCAGCUCUUUGGAGCGUCACUUUUCUCUGAUUUAUACUUUCCAAACCUUUCCCCUGAACUCUACAGAUUUAAGACAUCAGGUUUCAAACUGGAUCAUUUUUCUCUAAAAUCUCAUUAUUUCCUCUUUAUUUAGGUUAAUGAGCUGCAGUUUGACGAAGAUCAGCUGUUCUUCUCUGGCCUCAGCUCUGAAGUCCAACCCCUCCCAUCUGAAAACUCUGUGGCUGUAUGGAAACAAUCUGCAGGGUUCAGACAUGAAGCUGCUGUGUGAUCUUCAGAAGAGUCCUGACUACAGACUGAGGACUCUGAAGUCAGUAUAGAGUUGGAGUUAGUCUGUGCUGAUCUCUCCUGUUCCUCUCCACACAGUAUCACAGCAGAUAUUCAGUAUUUCCUGCUGACUCUUCGACCCUCUCAGAGGAUUAUCUCUUUAGUGAAGCUGUGAGAACAGAAAUCAUCAAACCAGGAGUGUAAGAGUGUCAGUGAUGAAAAAAGUGUCUCCUCGUCUCUAUAUUUCAGAUCAAAUGUAGAAAUGAGACAUAAUGAAACAGAAAUGUUCAGUUUCUGCUCUGAAGUCCAGUUUAUAGUUCUCUGUAUUCAACACAGACUUUAUUUCUCUGCUAACUUGUUGAUUUUGAGCUCUAAGUCUGAAAACAGACAGCUGUUCUUUAUACUUGUUAUUUUCACAGCAGGUUUGUUCGAUCAGCUUUAACACAUUUGACAGGAAUGAUUUCUUUAUUUUGAUGAUGUUGGUUUAUUUGUGAGGAAACCUGCUGCUUUACACCAUCACUUCUGGUCUGAGCAGGACUGAGACCUGCUGGUCUGUAAACUGGAUGUUCUUCAGUCCAGCUGAUGAAGUGAGUCUCAGAGUGGAAACACUGAUCGUCUUUUUUUCUCUCCUCAGAUGGAGUUAACAUCUGUCAGAGUGAUUAAGAAGAGGAUCAUGUGUUUCCUGACGAUCAGAGAGGUGGAGGCAGCAGCAGUGAGGGUGAGGUGAGUCUCUGACUGAGAGACUGACUGACCAAUCACAGCGGGCGGAGAGGACUCUGGGAGCUGCACUUUGACCUGCUCUGAGAUCAGCUCAGGACCUGGACUCUGGAUAUUUGAUAUUUUCCCUCAUAUUCUGGGAUCAAACAGUCUGAACAGGUUUGUUUUGUUGAUGGAAACAUGAUCAUAAAUUUACACUUUGAUUGGAUUACUUUGUUUUCACCAUGAUGCAGCGCCACCCAGUGGAAAUAUAAAGAGGUGGAGUUGAUUUAUUCCCUCAUAUUUCUGCAGCAGGAGUUGAUACCAUGUGUGAGAGUAGAUCAGUCAGAAGUUCAGAUUAAACCCAAAGGUUUUUUCUUUCCUUUGCACCGUUACAGACCGAAUAUAAACUGAAGGGAGAGGAAGAGAAGUGAGGAGAGAUGGAGGUGAAGGGAGGAGGAGGACAGGGUUUGGGGUUUUAACAAAAAUCUGAAGCUUUAUUCUUUCACUUGAUUAUUUUUAUUCAUCCGUUUUCUUCUUCAUUUUCUGAAAUGAUUGUAAAUAUUGACUGGAGGUAAAUUUGUCUUAUUUAAUAUUAUUAGACACUAUUUUCCGUCUCUUUACAUGUUUUUGUUCUCAUAUCAUCUUUGUGCUCAUCAAUAAUCGAUUCCCUCCAGUUUGAACAAAUACAAUUAUUAAACCAUAAAUGAGACCUGAGAGUAAAAUUAAAAUGUGUGAAAUAUAAUCAGUCAAAAGAAAGAUUCUUGAACAAAAACAAAAUCAUUAUUUUUACUUUAUUAUGAUGGAGAAGUUUUCCUCUGACAGACAAAAAUAACCGUAUUGACUGGAGUCUGGAAAAAGUGAGAUCAGCAUCUAUUCAGGGUGAAGUCAUUAACGUGGUCGAUGCUGUUUUAUAAACUCAGUGUUGUUGAUUACAAUCUCAGCUUCAUAAACUGAUGCUACAGCUCAUGUCACAGUCUGCUCACACCACAGAAACAUUAAACAUAGAACUAUUGUGAACAGAUUUGUCCUCUUCAGCUAAUCUACUAUCAAUAGAUCUGUGCUCUGUCUGUGUAACACUAUGUUGGUUCUUCAUUUACUCCAGAUCAUUUUUUUAUGUCAUUUCACUGUAACAAUGUCAUUUAAAGAUAAUAAAAACUUUAUUUGAACUAAAACAUGUUAAAAACAUCAACUCAGCUUGUUUCAUUUACUGUGUGCAAUUGAUUAUUAUUAUUUUUCAUUCAAACAGAAACUAGAUUUGGUCUUUAAAAAGUCCUCAAAGUGAG